Molecule: ribosomal RNA, 252 nt
Filed under: uncultured bacterium
Lineage: Bacteria
Description: partial 16S ribosomal RNA
Rfam family: Bacterial small subunit ribosomal RNA
Source: RNAcentral
UACAGAGGGGGCAAGCGUUAUUCGGAAUUAUUGGGCGUAAAGGGCGCGUAGGCGGCCUGGCAAGUGGAAGGUGAAAUCCCUCGGCUUAACCGAGGAACUGCCCUCCAAACUGCUUGGCUUGAGACCGGGAGAGGUGAGUGGAAUUCCCAGUGUAGCGGUGAAAUGCGUAGAUAUUGGGAGGAACACCAGUGGCGAAGGCGGCUCACUGGACCGGUACUGACGCUGAGGCGCGAAAGCAUGGUAGCGAACAGG